GUGUCAGCAGCCGCGGUAAUACGUAGGGGGCAAGCGUUGUCCGGAUUCACUGGGUGUAAAGGGCGCGCAGGUGGGUUGGCAAGUCAGAGGUGAAAUCUCCCGGCUUAACCGGGAAACUACCUUUGAUACUGCUGAUCUUGAGUAUGGAAGAGAGAGACGGAAUUCCAGGUGUAGUGGUGAAAUACGUAGAUAUCUGGAAGAACACCGGUGGCGAAGGCGGUCUCUUGGUCCAAUACUGACGCUCAGGCGCGAAAGCGUGGGGAGCAAACAGGAUUAGAUACCCCCGUAGUCC
This 292-nucleotide ribosomal RNA is filed under the name uncultured bacterium. Its description in RNAcentral is "partial 16S ribosomal RNA". It matches the Rfam family "Bacterial small subunit ribosomal RNA", at positions 505 to 796 of the family's 1533-position model. The record is from RNAcentral.